AGCGUUUUGGACCCACCUGAUUCCAUCCCGAACUCAGAAGUGAAACGAAACAGCGUCGAUGGUAGUGUGGGGUCUCCCCAUGUGAGAGUAGAAC
Molecule: ribosomal RNA, 94 nt
Filed under: Vibrio cholerae
Lineage: Bacteria; Pseudomonadati; Pseudomonadota; Gammaproteobacteria; Vibrionales; Vibrionaceae
Source: RNAcentral